Molecule: ribosomal RNA, 897 nt
Filed under: Amanita sp. Kew 29799
Lineage: Eukaryota; Fungi; Basidiomycota; Agaricomycetes; Agaricales; Amanitaceae
Description: eukaryotic LSU rRNA
Rfam family: Eukaryotic large subunit ribosomal RNA
Source: RNAcentral
GCAUAUCAUAGCGAGAAAAGAAACUAACAAGGAUUCCCCUAGUAACUGCGAGUGAAGCGGGAAAAGCUCAAAUUUGAAAUCUGGCAGUCUUUUUUUUCUUCUUUGGCUGUCCGAGUUGUAAUCUAGAGAAGUGCUUACCUGCACUGGACCAUGUAUAAGUCUCCUGGAAUGGAGCGUCACAGAGGGUGAGAAUCCCGUCUUUGACAUGGACCGCCAGUGUGUUGUGGUGUGCUCUCAAAGAGUCGAGUUGUUUGGGAAUGCAGCUCUAAAUGGGUGGUAAACUCCAUCUAAAGCUAAAUAUUGGCGAGAGACCGAUAGYGAACAAGUACCGUGAGGGAAAGAUGAAAAGGACUUUGGAAAGAGAGUUAAACAGUAUGUGAAAUUGUUGAAAGGGAAACGCUUGAAGUCAGUUAUGUUGGCUAGGGAUCAACYUAGCUGUUUUUUGCUGGGUGAAUUUCCUAGUCUGACAGGCCAACAUCAGUCUUGACUGCUGGAAAAGAGCAGAGGGAAUGUGGCACCUUUGGGUGUGUUAUAGCCUUUUGUCAUAUGUGGCAGUUGGGACUGAGGGAUGCAGCAUGCCGCGAGGCUGGGUUUCUGACCACGUUCAUGCUCAGGAUGUUGGCUUUUAAUGGCUUCAAUCGACCCGUCUUGAAACACGGACCAAGGAGUCUAACAUGCCUGCGAGUGUUUGGGUGGGGAAAACCCUUGUGCACAAUGAAAGUGAAAGUUGAGAUCCCUGUCAUGGGGAGCAUCGACGCCCGGACCUGAGCUUUUAGCGACGGAUCCGCGGUAGAGCAUGCAUGUUGGGACCCGAAAGAUGGUGAACUAUGCCUGAAUAGGGCAAAGCCAGAGGAAACUCUGGUGGAGGCUCGUAGCGAUUCUGACGUGCAAAUCGAU